RNAcentral lists this microRNA (21 nucleotides) under Suid alphaherpesvirus 1. RNAcentral describes it as "prv-miR-LLT8-3p". Its record names the gene prv-miR-LLT8-3p. Lineage: Duplodnaviria; Heunggongvirae; Peploviricota; Herviviricetes; Herpesvirales; Orthoherpesviridae. The record is from miRBase by way of RNAcentral.
CAACCCUUCUGGAGCCCUACC